CUCUGAGCGGUUGAGGUUGGGGCUGGGGUUGAGCUCGGGUUGGGUUCCUCCUGGGGCAGGAGGGAAAGGCGGGAGCCAGGGCGUCAGGGCCUGCGGACGAUGUGUGUGUGAAAGGGCGCGUCAGCCAUAAGAAGCCAUAUGCGUGCGAGCCGGUCCCCACCGUCCCCGCGGCGUUGUCACCAUCAUCAUGAGGCCACUGGAGCAGCCUCAGGCGCUGCUGCCGGGGGGCCGGGCGCGGGGUGCGUCGGGCUCUGCAGGUUGGCACUCACACCCAGCGCGCAGGAUGGCAGGCAAGAAUAGCACAUUUCAAACCUACAAGAAAGAAGUGUGCCUCCCCCGUCAUUCGAUGCACCCUGGCCCCUGGGCCAUCUGCUGUGAAUGCCAGACCAGAUUCGGGGGCCGCCUGCCUGUGUCCAGGGUGGAAGCAGCACUGCCUUACUGGGUCCCUCUGUCCCUGAGACCCCGAAAGCAGAGUCAAAAGACGGUUCAAUUUCCUAUCCCCCAAACCGCCAAGAUGUGCCCCUGCCUAUGCCACCGCUUUGGGGGCCGCCUCCCGAUGCCUAGGGACCAGGCAGUGAUGCCCUACUGGGUGCCCCAGGUCCUGAGGUCUCAGCAGCAGAUAGUCAGGAGGCAGCAGAGUUUGAAAGGCAUCCAAGCACCCCUGCUGGAUGCAUGCUGCUGGCACAACUGCUGGCGGAUCUGCGGUGAUGAGUGCCUGUUGUCCAAGUUCCAGCAGCUCCAGGCCCCCUACCAGGACCAGCUACCGGCUCCUGCAGCGCGUCUGCUGCCCCUCGGCCUCCUGACCCUCCUCCAGGCCAUCCCGAGGGUCAUCAUGGCCAUUCGCCAGUGUUUUGGGGUUUGAAGUUGGAAUCUUCAGCUACUGUCAAGAACAGCCACAAAAAUGUGUCACGAUCAAGAUCUUUGAGAGUCCACCAAUCAGGAGGCGUCUGUGACAGUCGCUGUCUUCUCAGAACAGAAUCCACACCCAGGAUUCAACCCAAAUGAUUUCUCAUCAGGUGAUUCUUGGUUGUAGCAAAGUUCAUGUGAAUGUGGGUGAGUUUCUGUUAUGAAUGUGGUCAAUAAAUGUUAUUUGUGAA
RNAcentral lists this long non-coding RNA (1097 nucleotides) under Homo sapiens (human). Its description in RNAcentral is "long non-coding RNA NONHSAT174188.1". The record is from RNAcentral. Lineage: Eukaryota; Metazoa; Chordata; Mammalia; Primates; Hominidae.